This 4495-nucleotide long non-coding RNA is filed under the name Daucus carota (carrot). RNAcentral describes it as "long non-coding RNA (DCAR_LNC006453)". Lineage: Eukaryota; Viridiplantae; Streptophyta; Magnoliopsida; Apiales; Apiaceae. The record is from RNAcentral.
GAGGAGAACAAAAGGAGGACACUGCAGAAGAAUGACAUUGCAGCAGCAAUCACAAGGACAGACAUAUUUGAUUUUCUGGUUGAUAUUGUUCCUAGGGAGGAUAUGAAAGAUGAGGUACUUGCUGCAACAGUUCCAAGAGGGCCCCUACCUAUUGGAGGUCCAGCUGAAGGUGUUCCUUACUAUAACUAUAUGCCUCCACAGCAUGCUGCACAAGUUGGGUCUCCAGUUAUGUACAUGGGUCAGCAGCCUCGUCCUUACAUGGCUCCUCAAAUGUGGCCACAACAACAGCAACCUCCUGAAGACUCUGAUCAGUAAUGAGUGGACUGCUGGUCAUUAAAGCAUGUGAAGGUAAUUUUUUAAUUAUCAUGCUGUAAAUGAAGAUUAUAUUGAUAUCACAUCGGUGUUCUUUUAAUUCUUUUGAAUGUUUUAGUGGUUUUUGUUUUUUGUUUAUUGCUGACUUUUGUUUUGGUGGCCAUUGUCCAGUUUUUAUCCAGCACCAUUAAGUAAUGAAGACUAAUUUGAUAAGAAUACUAGAAAACAUUUAAAUUAAACAUGUAGAUAAUUUUAUACACUAUACUCUUGACCCCACCUGAGUCGCUGAACCCAUGUUCAUCAUCUUCUUUAAGAACAAGAAGUAUGGUGAUAACCUAGAUCAUCAGAAAGAAAGACAAGAGACCAGAGAAAAACUUUGUCACAAUUUUUAACUGAACACAAAGAGAGAAACAACCCCCUCUUGGAGAGCAGGGAAGCUUUCCUCGACCAACAACUAUGUUUUGUGAUAACAUCCCACUUACAAGUGGUAAGCAUCUUUAGAGAUUUGAUGGCAAAAUACUCUUACAUAUCUGAGCACUUAAGCUGCUAGUUGCACAAAUAGCAUUUAUCCCUCUGUCGCAAUUUUGACCAUCAGAGAAUCCUCCUCCGCAUUUCGCCCAUAUGACCAAAUUUACUUUCCUCUUCCCAUGUUUAAGCCCCAGGAUCCAUUUUAUGUCCUAAGAGCAUCACCAACCCUUGAAGUAAUUUUUGGCGUAGUUUUUACACCAAAUUUGGUGUAAAAAUCAGACCAGUUAUUCUCUCCAAGCCAUGUACACCGAAGUUAGGACUCUUUUUUGUAAUAUAGGUUAUUUUAUUGUUAAAGUUGAAAUUAAUAGAUUUUGUGGAACGUAAAAGGAAAUGAAAUUGGUUUAAGUAAGAAGUAUGAGGGUAGUGUUGGAUUUACAAAAACUCUAAAUUUGGCGUGACACCAAAUCUGGUGCAACGUUUAGAGUUUGGUUAGAGAGGAAUUUACACCAAAUUUGGUGUAAAGUACACUUUUAGAGUUUGGUUGUAGAUGGUCUAAGCACCACUAAACUCUCCAGCCUUUCUCCGUCUGCCACCAACAACUCAAUCGCCAGUAUUUAAGAUCAAACUGUAGUAACAUAUGGGGUAAAUAACUGCAACAUUUUCAUUUUUAAUUUAGGAAAAGGAGAGAGAAGAAAACCAGCUGUUGGCGAUCUAAUAUUUGUGUGUAUAAAUAUUUGAGGAUUGAAUAGUACUUGCAGUUGGUGGAGAGUAGCAAGUAAUUUUGCUCACCUGGGUUAUUGGCUGGGUNUGUAUUGCUUCAAAAGCGCUCAAGUAUUUACAUGAAAGUGAAGGCGUUAAUUAGAAUGAUGUGUGUAUUGUUUUUGGUGUUGAGGAACCACUUUAUCGUAUGAGGUUCUUGACAAGAGUAACAUCUCUACUUCAAAAUGCAACUCACAUGCCUUGUUCUUCAACUUCUAUAAAUGAAGAGGAAGAGGGAGAACAAGAAUUUAAAGGACCAGAAAUUGAACUAAGUGACUUCGAAGCUUUUGAUUUGUUGAACAUCACUGAUUCAUACUUUAUUAUUGAUAAUUUUGUUAUAUUAGACAUGUUAAGAAUCUAUUAAGUACUAUAUAUAUGUUAAAACUAUGAUCUUAUUUUUGAAAAAAAUGCCCGUGAUUAUGGCACUUCACGAGUCACGCUUCAAAAUUAGGUCCUGCACUUUUUAAGAUAUUGCGCCUUAAACAACACAGAGUGUAUCCCAAACUGCAUUUUGAACUUUGUCAAAAGUUGUACACAUCUGUCAUUCGUCCUUAAACCUCUGAGUCAAAACUUUUAAAAGAAAUUAAAGGUUUUUGGGUACUUAGGUAUGAAGUCUGGCAGUCGUGACAAACAGAUGUACAAGGUAUCACAACCAUGUUGUCAUAUCUUAAAUGAAUGAACUUGUUGGAUUUUGUGUUUGAAUGUACUUGGCAUUUUGUGAGAUGAACUAGCUCAUAGGGUAAACAUAUUACUGUGUUUUAGAAUUCUAAGAACUUCUGUGAUAUCUGAAUGAUGGUUUUUACUGUUACUUUCCACCAGCAAAAGAGAGCAGGUCAGUUGCACGUCUAUUGUGUAUGUUUAGCAAAUAAGUUAGACGACUAUAUAGUUUUUGGUGCAGCUGUUUGAAGCUGCAGAUAUUGCCUAUUUCUUCUCCUUAUUCUGAUAUGAUUAUAUCUUGUGCUUUUCUUUUUGGGAAUUUACAGAAGAUCGAUAAAUAAAAUAAAUAAAUAAUGGACCAGCAAGGCCAUGGACAGCCCCCAAAUAUGGGUGUGGUUGGUACUUCAGCUGAGAUGCCAUAUGGUGUGGCUCCUUAUCAGGCUAACCAGAUGAUGGGAACCUCUACUCCUGCACCGGCUGGAUUAAUUCCGUCUACACAGACUCCAGGUCAGCUUGCACAACACCAACUUGCUUAUCAGCAAAUCCACCAGCAGCAGCAACAGCAGUUGCAGCAACAACUCCAGAGCUUUUGGGCAAACCAGUAUCAAGAAAUUGAGCAGGUUACUGAUUUUAAGAAUCACAGUCUGCCAUUAGCUAGGAUUAAGAAAAUUAUGAAAGCCGAUGAGGAUGUUAGGAUGAUAUCAGCUGAAGCUCCAGUCAUAUUUGCCCGAGCCUGCGAGAUGUUCAUCCUUGAGUUGACUAUGCGUGCUUGGAAUCAUACAGAGGAGAACAAAAGGAGGACACUGCAGAAGAAUGACAUUGCAGCAGCAAUCACAAGGACAGACAUAUUUGAUUUUCUGGUUGAUAUUGUUCCUAGGGAGGAUAUGAAAGAUGAGGUACUUGCUGCAACAGUUCCAAGAGGGCCCCUACCUAUUGGAGGUCCAGCUGAAGGUGUUCCUUACUAUAACUAUAUGCCUCCACAGCAUGCUGCACAAGUUGGGUCUCCAGUUAUGUACAUGGGUCAGCAGCCUCGUCCUUACAUGGCUCCUCAAAUGUGGCCACAACAACAGCAACCUCCUGAAGACUCUGAUCAGUAAUGAGUGGACUGCUGGUCAUUAAAGCAUGUGAAGGUAAUUUUUUAAUUAUCAUGCUGUAAAUGAAGAUUAUAUUGAUAUCACAUCGGUGUUCUUUUAAUUCUUUUGAAUGUUUUAGUGGUUUUUGUUUUUUGUUUAUUGCUGACUUUUGUUUUGGUGGCCAUUGUCCAGUUUUUAUCCAGCACCAUUAAGUAAUGAAGACUAAUUUGAUAAGAAUACUAGAAAACAUUUAAAUUAAACAUGUAGAUAAUUUUAUACACUAUACUCUUGACCCCACCUGAGUCGCUGAACCCAUGUUCAUCAUCUUCUUUAAGAACAAGAAGUAUGGUGAUAACCUAGAUCAUCAGAAAGAAAGACAAGAGACCAGAGAAAAACUUUGUCACAAUUUUUAACUGAACACAAAGAGAGAAACAACCCCCUCUUGGAGAGCAGGGAAGCUUUCCUCGACCAACAACUAUGUUUUGUGAUAACAUCCCACUUACAAGUGGUAAGCAUCUUUAGAGAUUUGAUGGCAAAAUACUCUUACAUAUCUGAGCACUUAAGCUGCUAGUUGCACAAAUAGCAUUUAUCCCUCUGUCGCAAUUUUGACCAUCAGAGAAUCCUCCUCCGCAUUUCGCCCAUAUGACCAAAUUUACUUUCCUCUUCCCAUGUUUAAGCCCCAGGAUCCAUUUUAUGUCCUAAGAGCAUCACCAACCCUUGAAGUAAUUUUUGGCGUAGUUUUUACACCAAAUUUGGUGUAAAAAUCAGACCAGUUAUUCUCUCCAAGCCAUGUACACCGAAGUUAGGACUCUUUUUUGUAAUAUAGGUUAUUUUAUUGUUAAAGUUGAAAUUAAUAGAUUUUGUGGAACGUAAAAGGAAAUGAAAUUGGUUUAAGUAAGAAGUAUGAGGGUAGUGUUGGAUUUACAAAAACUCUAAAUUUGGCGUGACACCAAAUCUGGUGCAACGUUUAGAGUUUGGUUAGAGAGGAAUUUACACCAAAUUUGGUGUAAAGUACACUUUUAGAGUUUGGUUGUAGAUGGUCUAAGCACCACUAAACUCUCCAGCCUUUCUCCGUCUGCCACCAACAACUCAAUCGCCAGUAUUUAAGAUCAAACUGUAGUAACAUAUGGGGUAAAUAACUGCAACAUUUUCAUUUUUAAUUUAGGAAAAGGAGAGAGAAGAAAACCAGCUGUUGGCGAUCUAAUAUUUGUGUGUAUAAAUAUUUG